AUACGUAGGGGGCGAGCGUUGUCCGGAAUGAUUGUGCGUAAAGGGCGCGUAGGCGGCCAUGCAAGUCUGGAGUGGAAGUCCAUCUUUCAAGGGUGGAAUUGCUUUGGAAACUGUGUGGCUGGAGUGCAGGAGAGGUUAUCGGAAUUCCCGGUGUAGCGGUGAAAUGCGUAGAGAUCGGGAGGAACAUCAGUGGCGAAGGCGGGUAACUGGACUGCAACUGACGCUGAGGCGCGAAAGUGUGGGGAGCAAACAGGAUUAGAUACCCUGGUAGUCCACACCGUAAACGAUGAAUGCUAGGUGUAGGUGGUAUCGACCCCAUCUGUGCCGGAGUAAACACAGUAAGCAUUCCGCCUGGGGAGUACGGUCGCAAGAUUAAA
Molecule: ribosomal RNA, 377 nt
Filed under: uncultured bacterium
Lineage: Bacteria
Description: bacterial SSU rRNA
Rfam family: Bacterial small subunit ribosomal RNA
Source: RNAcentral